RNAcentral lists this ribosomal RNA (95 nucleotides) under uncultured bacterium. RNAcentral describes it as "partial 16S ribosomal RNA". It matches the Rfam family "Bacterial small subunit ribosomal RNA", at positions 1388 to 1482 of the family's 1533-position model. The record is from RNAcentral.
CACCGCCCGUCACGUCAUGGGAGUCGGCAGCACCUGAAGCCGCUGCGCCAACCUUCGGGAGGCAGGCGUCGAGGGUGAGGCCGGCGACUGGGACG